This 241-nucleotide unclassified non-coding RNA is filed under the name Hevea brasiliensis (rubber tree). The record is from RNAcentral. Lineage: Eukaryota; Viridiplantae; Streptophyta; Magnoliopsida; Malpighiales; Euphorbiaceae.
AGAUUGCUAAAAGAUACUUGCGAUUCUAUUUUAUCAUCGAUUUUCUUGCUGUGCUUCCCUUGCCGCAGAUUGUGGUCUGGAGAUUCCUGAAGAGCUCAACAGGUUCUGAUGUCUUCACUACAAAGCAAGCUUUGCUUUACAUCAUCUUACUUCAGUACAUCCCCAGAUUUGCCAGAGUUGUACCCUUAACUUCGGAAUUGAAAAGAACUACUGGUGUCUUUGCUGAAACUGCAUGGGCUGG